This 458-nucleotide ribosomal RNA is filed under the name uncultured bacterium. RNAcentral's name for it is "partial 16S ribosomal RNA". It matches the Rfam family "Bacterial small subunit ribosomal RNA", at positions 28 to 507 of the family's 1533-position model. The record is from RNAcentral.
GGUGAACGCUGGCGGCGUGCUUAAGACAUGCAAGUCGAACGGGCUCUUCGGAGCCAGUGGCGCACGGGUGAGUAACGCGUAACUGGCCUACCCCAAAGUCGCGGAUAACGAUUCGAAAGAAUCGCUAAUACGUGAUGUGCUGUCAGAUCCUGUUCUGCCAGUAAAGAUUUAUUGCUUUGGGAUGGGGUUGCGUUCCAUCAGCUAGUUGGUGGGGUAAAGGCCCACUAAGGCGACGACGGAUCGCCGGCCUGAGAGGGUGGCCGGCCACAGGGGCACUGAGACACGGGUCCCACUCCUACGGGAGGCAGCAGUUAGGAAUCUUCCACAAUGGGCGAAAGCCUGAUGGAGCGACGCCGCGUGAGGGAUGAAGGUCGUCGGAUCGUAAACCGCUGAAUCAGGGACGAAAGACGCGAAAGCGGGAUGACGGUACCUGAGUAAUAGCACCGGCUAACUCCGUG